Molecule: ribosomal RNA, 492 nt
Filed under: uncultured bacterium
Lineage: Bacteria
Description: partial 16S ribosomal RNA
Rfam family: Bacterial small subunit ribosomal RNA
Source: RNAcentral
AGUGAACGCUGGCGGUAGGCCUAACACAUGCAAGUCGAACGGCAGCACAGUAAGAGCUUGCUCUUACGGGUGGCGAGUGGCGGACGGGUGAGGAAUACAUCGGAAUCUACUUUUUCGUGGGGUAUAACGUAGGGAAACUUACGCUAAUACCGCAUACGACCUACGGGUGAAAGCAGGGGAUCUUCGGACCUUGCGCGAUUGAAUGAGCCGAUGUCGGAUUAGCUAGUUGGCGGGGUAAAGGCCCACCAAGGCGACGAUCCGUAGCUGGUCUGAGAGGAUGAUCAGCCACACUGGAACUGAGACACGGUCCAGACUCCUACGGGAGGCAGCAGUGGGGAAUAUUGGACAAUGGGCGCAAGCCUGAUCCAGCCAUACCGCGUGGGUGAAGAAGGCCUUCUGGUUGUAAAGCCCUUUUGUUGGGAAAGAAAAGCAGCAGGUUAAUACCCCGCUGUUCUGACGGUACCCAAAGAAUAAGCACCGGCUAACUUCGUG